Chenopodium quinoa (quinoa) is the source of this 2487-nucleotide long non-coding RNA. RefSeq lists it as uncharacterized. The record is from RefSeq and is a predicted model, not a curated record. NCBI's taxonomy places the organism in Eukaryota, Viridiplantae, Streptophyta, Magnoliopsida, Caryophyllales, Amaranthaceae. The transcript has 9 exons.
UAAAAUGAAUAAAUAAAUAUUUUAAGGCGGAUCUAUAUAUCCUCUUUUCUCUCUCAGUUUCCCAAUGAAGAGCACUCCAUUCAGGCGAUUUCUUACAUUUCUAUCUUCCAUUGAAGCAUUACUUUUGAGAAACCCUUUAAUUUUAGGAUCAAACUAUGAAAUUGGCACUUAUCUCCCUGCCCCUCCUGCCCUGGAUUUGACUACUUUGAUUUGUUGAAGGAGACGAAGGAUUUCAGUUAUUCUGUUUUGGAUUUUGUAGAUAUGAUCAAUUUGGGUAUUUCUCAAAAUCCGUCGCUGGCAAUGAAUGAUCUGAAGAUUUGAGUACGACGCGGCGACGAUUUUGGCAUUAUUCCGGUUACGGUAGCAGUCAAUGACUUGAGGCCUUGGCUCUCGAGGCGUAAAAAGAGGAAGGUUACCAUCAAGGUAGCUGAGGUCCUGAAAUGGGCACUACAAAUUACUAAACUCAAGUUUAAAUCUGCAAUGACAUGAAGUGCACCGAAAAUGUAAGGUCAUCUGUGCACCCAUUGUCGGGAGGCCUUUAAGGGUGUUUUCUACGUGUUGCAAGAAAGAGGUGCAGGUGGCUAUUGAGAAAAUUUCUGUUUCAUGUGAUGUUUUGUGUGUAUCCCACAUCAACUUAAAUGCAGAGAGUAUUGUGGAUGGCCGUUGCACUAGGAGCCAUGAUGAACAACCUAGUCAGAUGAAACAAAUGUAAUAGUGCGUUGACCUAGUGGAUUAGUUUUUCUUGGCAGUUUCAAAGACGUAUCUUGGCAACAGUAACAUGAACUGGUGCAUGGAGGCUGGAGUAGAUAUCCCAUAUCGGACUGCACCAACCAAUGGCACAAAUUUAGUGGUUUUAUUUGGACUAUAUGACUUCUUUGAGUCUCACAGUUGAAACUUGCGCGAAAAUAUUCACUUUUUACUUCAAGGACAAAGAGCAAGAUGGAACUUGAAAGAGAAUGCCAAGGGCUUCAGCCAAGGAAAAAGAGCAAGAUAUAUGCAAGACAGCAAGAUUCAAAUUGAAGUAGGAAAUCAAGGGUUUUAGCCAAGGAUAAAGAUACAGGUCUGUGGAAUUCUUUUUUUUUUGUUUUCCCCUCCACUUUCUAUGUUAUUGAAGAAUGAAGAUGUGCCUGAAAAUGCUACCCAAAGCUUAAACUCAGAUCAAUCAUUGUUGGUAUCGGCUUUUCCAAUUGUCUGAGGUACCAAACAGUUCUGUUGUCUGCUAACUGAUCAUCUCCAUUCCGCCCUCGAUUAUCUGGGAAUGGCACUUGCGGAGGUGAAGCUUUCUGAACCGAUGGCAUUUGGUGAAGGACAAACUGACUGCCACUUGCAACAGUCCUUCCUGAUGUUGAGUUUGGAAAUGGAAAGGAAACACCCAAGCUACCAUGAUUCACAACAGGGUACCUUGGUUGUACCAAGUUUUGAGUUUGUGUAGAAGCAAUAAAAGGGCGGCUUUGAGCUAUUGGUGCCCUUUCAUGCUGCAAAGUUCUGAAGCCAUUUGGGAAAUAUGGGUGGUGUCGCUGCUGAAAGGUGGAUGGUGGAGUGAGGCGGGGUUGGAAAGGAUUGUUGGUAAUGAUUCUCUCUCUGUUCUCUCUCUGUCUAGCUAUCAAGGCAGCCGUUAGAUUAUUUUGGGUUCUCCGAGCAAACUCAUUUUGAUGAGACUCAUAGUGCUCUAUUAGAGAAUGGCUGCUGAGGAAUACCUUCUCACAAACUCGGCAUGCAAGCACCAUAGGACUCAUAGCAUAAGGCCUAGAAUGCUCGUUGCUGUAGAGACGGUGAGGAUUUGAGUUCCACCGCGUAGACAUUGUGAAAACAAUUACUUGAGAGAAAAACGAAGGGGAGGGAUAGGUGAAGAGAGAAAGGAAGAAGAGACAAGGUACACAUUUCGCCGUGGGGGAGCAGGGUAAUAUAUAGCUGAGUUUUUCGCCUUUUCUAUAGAUCAAUGGGUAGGAUAAUGAUCUUCUCUAUCCUUUUUGGUUUUGCCAUCUACGAAUUUUCUGUCUCAUUUAUGAUUCUUCUUACAAUUUUGAUAACCUAAUACCUAUAAUUAUUUCUUUAAUCAUAAAAAUGGUCAAGAAUUUUAUUAUAGAAGGUUAAGGUAAUUGAAUGAAAGUCUCCUAAUAUCAGGAACUCCUGAUUUCUUACUUUAUUAAUUUGAAAAUCUGAUAUGGGCAAGAACAUUUUUAGAAACUUAGGCUGGCAUUAAAAAUGUGCAUGAAUCAUUUAUUGUGUAUCCCUAUAAAAUUAAUAUUUUGGGUGAGAAAGCAAGGGAGAUGAUAUAAAUAUUUUUACAGCUUCAUAUUGCCUCAAUUAAUAUCUCCACUUUGCUUCUUUUCCUUUUUUCCUAGGUUAUUAAAGGUCCAAAUGCAAAUUUUGCCAGCUAAUAAUAUAAUUAUGUAAGCUUUUUAGUUUAAUAGAAAUUUUCUUGGCUUGAUAUUUUCCUAUUGUAGUGACCUUUUACAUUAAUCUUAAGUAAUAUAUCUUUCAUGA